CCCUUUGUUGUCCGACUCUGUUGCCUCCGGGGCGACCCUGCCUUCGGGCGGGGGCUCCGGGUGGACACUUCAAACUCUUGCGUAACUUUGCAGUCUGAGUAAACUUAAUUAAUAAAUUAAAACUUUUAACAACGGAUCUCUUGGUUCUGGCAUCGAUGAAGAACGCAGCGAAAUGCGAUAAGUAAUGUGAAUUGCAGAAUUCAGUGAAUCAUCGAAUCUUUGAACGCACAUUGCGCCCCCUGGUAUUCCGGGGGGCAUGCCUGUUCGAGCGUCAUUUCACCACUCAAGCCUCGCUUGGUAUUGGGCAACGCGGUCCGCCGCGUGCCUCAAAUCGACCGGCUGGGUCUUCUGUCCCCUAAGCGUUGUGGAAACUAUUCGCUAAAGGGUGUUCGGGAGGCUACGCCGUAAAACAACCCCAUUUCUAAGGUUGACCUCGGAUCAGGUAGGGAUACCCGCUGAACUUAAGCAUAUCAAUAAGCGGAGGAAAAGAAACCAACAGGGAUUGCUCUAGUAACGGCGAGUGAAGCAGCAAUAGCUCAAAUUUGAAAUCUGGCGUCUUCGACGUCCGAGUUGUAAUUUGUAGAGGAUGCUUCUGAGUAACCACCGACCUAAGUUCCUUGGAACAGGACGUCAUAGAGGGUGAGAAUCCCGUAUGCGGUCGGAAAGGUGCUCUAUACGUAGCUCCUUCGACGAGUCGAGUUGUUUGGGAAUGCAGCUCUAAAUGGGAGGUAAAUUUCUUCUAAAGCUAAAUAUUGGCCAGAGACCGAUAGCGCACAAGUAGAGUGAUCGAAAGAUGAAAAGCACUUUGGAAAGAGAGUUAAAAAGCACGUGAAAUUGUUAAAAGGGAAGGGAUUGCAACCAGACUUGCUCGCGGUGUUCCGCCGGUCUUCUGACCGGUCUACUCGCCGCGUUGCAGGCCAGCAUCGUCUGGUGCCGCUGGAUAAGACUUGAGGAAUGUAGCUCCCUCGGGAGUGUUAUAGCCUCUUGUGAUGCAGCGAGCGCCGGGCGAGGUCCGCG
RNAcentral lists this ribosomal RNA (1017 nucleotides) under Cladosporium asperulatum. RNAcentral describes it as "eukaryotic LSU rRNA". The stretch from base 429 to 1017 matches the Rfam family "Eukaryotic large subunit ribosomal RNA", at positions 1 to 511 of the family's 3401-position model. The record is from RNAcentral. Lineage: Eukaryota; Fungi; Ascomycota; Dothideomycetes; Cladosporiales; Cladosporiaceae.